Molecule: ribosomal RNA, 479 nt
Filed under: uncultured bacterium
Lineage: Bacteria
Description: partial 16S ribosomal RNA
Rfam family: Bacterial small subunit ribosomal RNA
Source: RNAcentral
GAUGAACGCUAGCGGGAGGCCUAACACAUGCAAGCCGAGCGGUAGAGUUUCUUCGGAAACUUGAGAGCGGCGCACGGGUGCGUAACACGUGUGCAACCUACCUUUAUCUGGGCUCUAGCCUUUCGAAAGGAAGAUUAAUACCCCAUAAUAUAAUUAUUGGCAUCAAUUAUUAUUGAAAACUCCGGUGGAUAGAGAUGGGCACGCGCAAGAUUAGAUAGUUGGUGAGGUAACGGCUCACCAAGUCAAUGAUCUUUAGGGGUCCUGAGAGGGAGAUACCCCACACUGGUACUGAGACAAGGAACAGAAUAAUACGGGAGGCAGCAGUGAGGAAUAUAGGACAAUGGGUGAGAGCCUGAUAAAGCCAACCCGCGUGAAGGAUGACGGUGCUAUGGAUAGUAAACUUCUUUUGUACAGGGAUAAACCUAGCCUCGUGAGGGUAGCUGAAGGUACUGAACGAAUAAGCACCGGCUAACUCCGUG